Molecule: long non-coding RNA, 1440 nt
Organism: Lathyrus oleraceus (garden pea)
Lineage: Eukaryota; Viridiplantae; Streptophyta; Magnoliopsida; Fabales; Fabaceae
Exons: 2
Source: RefSeq, a predicted model, not a curated record
GUCUCUCUUGAGGAUCUCAUUAAGAGAUCCCUCACUUUUCAAAAAAAGACAAAAAAAAUAAAAAAAAUAAUAAAUAUGUGGACAGCCCACGUGACCCUCUAUCUUCUCUCUGAAUCCUCUAAAAAAAAGACCUUUCCUCUUCUUCACUCACAAAAAAACCCUAGCGGCUCACUCUCUCCAACGGCUUCAUUCGUAAAAACCUAGUCGCCUUCCCUCUUCUUCCCCACAAAAAACCCUAGCCGCCACCUUCAUUUUCAUCAUCUCCUUCACCGAAAUCCUUCUUCCACACACUCACUCUCCGCCGCCACCCUUCAUUUUCUUCAACUUCUUCACUUCAAAAAAACCUAUCGCCGCUCCACACCAUCUCGGAAAACCCUUCCGCUCAAAAUUCAUUUCAUUCCCUCAACACAAAAACCCUUUCCGUAAAAACUUCAAAAUCCCAAUCGCUUCCGUCAUCUCCUUUCGCACCACCCCUCUCCACCGAUCUUCUCCACCGUACACCGAACCUACUGCCGCCACACGCCAUUUACCCACCACCAUAAACCCUCCUUCAUUCCGAAACCCUCACUCUCUCAAACUUGAAUUUUGAAUCGCGAUCCAUCUCGUGCAUCUAAUUCCAGUUUUGGAUCCUCAACCGUCAGUCACGCGCACGACGACGAUCUGUUCGUGAUAAGAAGGGACAGUCUAGUAUACGAUGGUGAUUUUGCAUCUAAGUCGGAGAUUUCUUCUCCGCGCCGGUUUAUGACAAACCAGUAUACGAUGGCGAUGCUUUUGAUGGGGUGCCUGGGUUGAAGAGCAUGACGAAGUUUAGUUUUCAUAUUUGUCUUCGUGUCCGAAAAUGAAAAGGAGUUUGGUUCUGGCAGGAAGGGAUUGUAGAAAAGGAUAAAGUUGUUUCUGUCUUUAACUAUUUACUACCUGGAUUCGAAAGAAAACAACGGAUCCUGUGCCUGAUUUUGGUGCUGGCCUCGUCGUGGUCUUUGGCAUUUGCCUUAGCUUAAAGUUUGUAUUUCUAUUUGUUUCCGCAUCAGGUGUUGGUUUUGUUAACUGGGAGUUACUCUUUGAGACUUUAUCUUGUUUAUAGUUACACGUAUGUUUUGGGAAUGUUGCUUGCUAUGCAGAUCAGUUAUGCAGGUUUGUUGCAGUUUAGGAUUGGUAUCGGCGCCGGCAUGCACAUUGGAGCGUUUGGAUCGUGGCUUUGCUUUUGAAAUUGGCAGAAUUGUUAUUCAUGAAAGUGAUACUGUUGAAAGUGCUCACAAGGAAAUUGCUUGGCGUUUGCUUAAGGGUGCUGCUAAUUGGCAAAGGAGCCUUUUGAAUCUGCCCUAUUUUGAUAUUAAAUUUUAUUAAGUCUGUUUUGUGUCUUGGUUUGGGUGUCAAGUUUUUAUGUUGUUUCUGUUUGAUUAUUCAAAUUGAAAUCUAGUUUUGCUUGAAACCUUUUCAUUA